UACAAAUAUUUUAGAAGUAUUAGGUUAAAUUCACUGAUCAGGCAUUAAUCAGUUGUCAUACAGCAGGUUUAGUGCAUGAGUUAAUUAAAAAAGCGCCAUCUUCAAGGGACUCUCCGUUUGAUAACUUGUGUAAAAUAUAUCUUGUCGGAUUGUUACCUUGAAAAUGGCAGAUAUCUUCGUAAAACAUCUGAACAGGGUAGUUCUGAGCUUUCAGCGACCCCCUGCUCUGGCCGCCCAAAUGGAGAGACUCGCGUAGACAGGAGGUUCGCUCACUUGCAAACCACCCGAAGCCCCUUUGGUCGUAUAAAAAUUGCUAGACCGAACUUAACAAGGCUCUGAUGCAACAUCUCUAUCUAGUGCGUAUCAUGGAAGAGAUCUUCGCGAAGCUCAAUAAAGGAUUUCCCAUUAACUUAUUUUAGUGAAGCGUAUUUGCAAACUAACGAGGACUUAUGAGGCCUGCUCACUAUGAGCAUUCCGGAGGAUCCAUAACUCAAUUUAACAGGCUAUUUUUGGCAUCAAAUACGUUCUUGGU
Molecule: long non-coding RNA, 532 nt
Organism: Varroa destructor (honeybee mite)
Lineage: Eukaryota; Metazoa; Arthropoda; Arachnida; Mesostigmata; Varroidae
Source: RefSeq, a predicted model, not a curated record